CUUUCUACAGGCUUAACACAUGCAAGUCGAGGGGCAGCACGGUCUUAGCUUGCUAAGACUGAUGGCGACCGGCGCACGGGUGAGUAACACGUAUCCAACCUGCCGUCUACUCUUGGACAGCCUUCUGAAAGGAAGAUUAAUACAAGAUGGCAUCAUGAGUCCGCAUGUUCACAUGAUUAAAGGUAUUCCGGUAGACGAUGGGGAUGCGUUCCAUUAGAUAGUAGGCGGGGUAACGGCCCACCUAGUCUUCGAUGGAUAGGGGUUCUGAGAGGAAGGUCCCCCACAUUGGAACUGAGACACGGUCCAAACUCCUACGGGAGGCAGCAGUGAGGAAUAUUGGUCAAUGGGCGAGAGCCUGAACCAGCCAAGUAGCGUGAAGGAUGACUGCCCUAUGGGUUGUAAACUUCUUUUAUAAAGGAAUAAAGUCGGGUAUGCAUACCCGUUUGCAUGUACUUUAUGAAUAAGGAUCGGCUAACUCCGUGCCAGCAGCCGCGGUAAUACGGAGGAUCCGAGCGUUAUCCGGAUUUAUUGGGUUUAAAGGGAGCGUAGAUGGAUGUUUAAGUCAGUUGUGAAAGUUUGCGGCUCAACCGUAAAAUUGCAGUUGAUACUGGAUAUCUUGAGUGCAGUUGAGGCAGGCGGAAUUCGUGGUGUAGCGGUGAAAUGCUUAGAUAUCACGAAGAACUCCGAUUGCGAAGGCAGCCUGCUAAGCUGCAACUGACAUUGAGGCUCGAAAGUGUGGGUAUCAAACAGGAUUAGAUACCCUGGUAGUCCACACGGUAAACGAUGAAUACUCGCUGUUUGCGAUAUACUGCAAGCGGCCAAGCGAAAGCGUUAAGUAUUCCACCUGGGGAGUACGCCGGCAACGGUGAAACUCAAAGGAAUUGACGGGGGCCCGCACAAGCGGAGGAACAUGUGGUUUAAUUCGAUGAUACGCGAGGAACCUUACCCGGGCUUAAAUUGCAGAUGAAUUACGGUGAAAGCCGUAAGCCGCAAGGCAUCUGUGAAGGUGCUGCAUGGUUGUCGUCAGCUCGUGCCGUGAGGUGUCGGCUUAAGUGCCAUAACGAGCGCAACCCUUGUUGUCAGUUACUAACAGGUUCCGCUGAGGACUCUGACAAGACUGCCAUCGUAAGAUGUGAGGAAGGUGGGGAUGACGUCAAAUCAGCACGGCCCUUACGUCCGGGGCUACACACGUGUUACAAUGGGGGGUACAGAGGGCCGCUACCACGCGAGUGGAUGCCAAUCCCCAAAACCUCUCUCAGUUCGGACUGGAGUCUGCAACCCGACUCCACGAAGCUGGAUUCGCUAGUAAUCGCGCAUCAGCCACGGCGCGGUGAAUACGUUCCCGGGCCUUGUACACACCGCCCGUCAAGCCAUGGGAGCCGGGGGUACCUGAAGUGCGUAACCGCGAGGAGCGCCCUAGGGUAAAACUGGUGAC
Molecule: ribosomal RNA, 1435 nt
Filed under: uncultured organism
Description: SSU rRNA
Rfam family: Bacterial small subunit ribosomal RNA
Source: RNAcentral